ACUCAAAUGAAUUGACGGGGGCUCACACAAGCGGUGGAGCAUGUGGCUUAAUUCGAGGCUACGCGAAGAACCUUAUCCUGGGCUUGACAUACGCGAAAGCGCGAGGAAGUAGCCCGCGGAAACGUGGGGCCAACGGUAUCCAGUCCGGAACCUCGCACAGGUGCUGCAUGGCUGUCGUCAGCUCGUGUCGUGAGAUGUCGGGUUAAGUCCCAUAACGAGCGAAACCCCUGUUUCCAGUUGCCAGCGCCUCGGGCGGGGACUCUGGAAAGACUGCCGGUGUCAAACCGGAGGAAGGUGGGGAUGACGUCAAGUCCUCAUGGCCCUUACGCCCAGGGCUGCACACGUGCUACAAUGGCGUACACAAAGGGAUGCCAACGCGCGAGCGGGAGCCAAUCCCAAAAAAUACGCCCCAGUUCAGAUCGAAGGCUGCAACUCGCCUUCGUGAAGUUGGAAUCGCUAGUAAUCGCGGGUCAGCAACACCGCGGUGAAUGUGUUCCUGAGCCUUGCACACACCGCCCGU
This 520-nucleotide ribosomal RNA is filed under the name uncultured bacterium. RNAcentral's name for it is "partial 16S ribosomal RNA". It matches the Rfam family "Bacterial small subunit ribosomal RNA", at positions 899 to 1397 of the family's 1533-position model. The record is from RNAcentral.